This 1403-nucleotide ribosomal RNA is filed under the name uncultured bacterium. Its description in RNAcentral is "bacterial SSU rRNA". It matches the Rfam family "Bacterial small subunit ribosomal RNA". The record is from RNAcentral.
UCGAGCGGUAGCACAGAGAGCUUGCUCUCGGGUGACGAGCGGCGGACGGGUGAGUAAUGUCUGGGAAACUGCCUGAUGGAGGGGGAUAACUACUGGAAACGGUAGCUAAUACCGCAUAAUGUCGCAAGACCAAAGUGGGGGACCUUCGGGCCUCAUGCCAUCAGAUGUGCCCAGAUGGGAUUAGCUAGUAGGUGGGGUAACGGCUCACCUAGGCGACGAUCCCUAGCUGGUCUGAGAGGAUGACCAGCCACACUGGAACUGAGACACGGUCCAGACUCCUACGGGAGGCAGCAGUGGGGAAUAUUGCACAAUGGGCGCAAGCCUGAUGCAGCCAUGCCGCGUGUGUGAAGAAGGCCUUCGGGUUGUAAAGCACUUUCAGCGGGGAGGAAGGCGAUAAGGUUAAUAACCUUGUCGAUUGACGUUACCCGCAGAAGAAGCACCGGCUAACUCCGUGCCAGCAGCCGCGGUAAUACGGAGGGUGCAAGCGUUAAUCGGAAUUACUGGGCGUAAAGCGCACGCAGGCGGUCUGUCAAGUCGGAUGUGAAAUCCCCGGGCUCAACCUGGGAACUGCAUUCGAAACUGGCAGGCUAGAGUCUUGUAGAGGGGGGUAGAAUUCCAGGUGUAGCGGUGAAAUGCGUAGAGAUCUGGAGGAAUACCGGUGGCGAAGGCGGCCCCCUGGACAAAGACUGACGCUCAGGUGCGAAAGCGUGGGGAGCAAACAGGAUUAGAUACCCUGGUAGUCCACGCCGUAAACGAUGUCGAUUUGGAGGUUGUGCCCUUGAGGCGUGGCUUCCGGAGCUAACGCGUUAAAUCGACCGCCUGGGGAGUACGGCCGCAAGGUUAAAACUCAAAUGAAUUGACGGGGGCCCGCACAAGCGGUGGAGCAUGUGGUUUAAUUCGAUGCAACGCGAAGAACCUUACCUGGUCUUGACAUCCACAGAACUUAGCAGAGAUGGUUUGGUGCCUUCGGGAACUGUGAGACAGGUGCUGCAUGGCUGUCGUCAGCUCGUGUUGUGAAAUGUUGGGUUAAGUCCCGCAACGAGCGCAACCCUUAUCCUUUGUUGCCAGCGGUUAGGCCGGGAACUCAAAGGAGACUGCCAGUGAUAAACUGGAGGAAGGUGGGGAUGACGUCAAGUCAUCAUGGCCCUUACGACCAGGGCUACACACGUGCUACAAUGGCAUAUACAAAGAGAAGCGACCUCGCGAGAGCAAGCGGACCUCAUAAAGUAUGUCGUAGUCCGGAUUGGAGUCUGCAACUCGACUCCAUGAAGUCGGAAUCGCUAGUAAUCGUAGAUCAGAAUGCUACGGUGAAUACGUUCCCGGGCCUUGUACACACCGCCCGUCACACCAUGGGAGUGGGUUGCAAAAGAAGUAGGUAGCUUAACCUUCGGGAGGGCGCUACC